GCUAAGAUUGAGGCUGGGAAAGGAAGUCUUGCUUCAUCCCUCAAGCUUACGAAGGCUCAUCACAAGAGGCACAAAUUUUCUUUUGGAAAAAAAAAAAAAAAAAAACGAAAAGGCUUCGCAGAGGAUUUAGAUCAUUCAAAGCCAAGAUGCCAAGAUAAGGGGAACUAGAAUGGCUUGUUGUGCAGCUAAUGGCUGUGAUCAAAAAUUCAACACAAAAUCAAACUUGAAGAAACAUUUUGAACGCAAACAUGAAAAUCAACAAAAACAAUAUAUAUGCGGUUUUGAAGACUGUAAGAAGACCUUUAAGAAACAUCAGCAGCUGAAAAUCCAUCAGUGCCAGCAUACCAAUGAACCUCUAUUCAAGUGUACCCAGGAAGGAUGUGGGAAACACUUUGCAUCACCCAGCAAGCUGAAACGACAUGCCAAGGCCCACGAGGGCUAUGUAUGUCAAAAAGGAUGUUCCUUUGUGGCAAAAACAUGGACGGAACUUCUGAAACAUGUGAGAGAAACCCAUAAAGAGGAAAUACUAUGUGAAGUAUGCCGGAAAACAUUUAAACGCAAAGAUUACCUUAAGCAACACAUGAAAACUCAUGCCCCAGAAAGGGAUGUAUGUCGCUGUCCAAGAGAAGGCUGUGGAAGAACCUACACAACUGUGUUUAAUCUCCAAAGCCAUAUCCUCUCCUUCCAUGAGGAAAGCCGCCCUUUUGUGUGUGAACAUGCUGGCUGUGGCAAAACAUUUGCAAUGAAA
RNAcentral lists this small RNA (748 nucleotides) under Pongo abelii (Sumatran orangutan). RNAcentral describes it as "processed transcript". Lineage: Eukaryota; Metazoa; Chordata; Mammalia; Primates; Hominidae. The record is from RNAcentral.